GAAUAUGUUUUGGGCGUUGUGGAGAAGGUCAGGUGUACCGUGGACGCUUCCAUUCAGGAACUUGUCGACAUCACCCUCCAAAGGUACUGUCUUUUCCCUCUCCCAAUCCUGCCCUGCUUGAAUUCUUUGGUCUCUGUACUUGCUGAAAUGAUGUCUGAUAUGGCACCACAGUCCACAGGUAGGAAGGGCCUCUGUAGCUGCCGCACCACCUAUUCCACAAGUUCCACAGCGAAGUUGAUUUGCCGGUGUUUUGCUGCUAAGCCCUGGACGACCAGGACUUCCUCCAUAUGGACCGCCAUCACCAUCAAGAUGCUCAAAUUAGUGGAGGAGCGGAGGUACACCAAGAGGCACAGCCAGAGUCAAAUAAGUGCUCUUUUAGAGGAGACAUGGCAGCGCCUGCAUGAUCGGGGCCUGACCUACUUCAGAUGGUGAACCACAACUCUUAUCAUGAUGAUCCUUAUGCAAAAGAGUUUAGCAUCAAGAUCAGUGAGUGGCUGACGUUGGUCGAUGCACGGGUUUUACGUGCUCCCCGGCUUAAGUACAACAAGAACGGUCGAGAGAAGGAUUGCUUGCCUAGAGUUGGCCAGUGGAAUAUGAUGAACAAGAAACUGUUCAAUGGUGGUACAGUCAGGAGCUGGAUGUGUGCCAAUUUUGCCUGAAACAUGCAGGACAACGUUGCCACUGGGUUCUGCAGUGAACUCGCUUGCAUGUGCCAGGCCCCAGGAAUGGCAAAUAUCCCUAAAAUGCUUCAUUGUACUUGUUGUUCACAACAGUAACACUAUCAAUUAUAGGACUUGUAGCCUGUUAAGCCAGGUUCAAUUAUAGGACAUUGAUUUGUGUGCACUACUAGAUUGAAUGUUCAAGCCAAAUGGAUGCUCAUACCCUUGUGGUGUCUCAGGUGACUUGAAGCGCGUCUGAGAGAUUGACCUUGGGCUGAUCUCGCAGUGCUGUUUGGCCAAUUAUUUAAGAUGAACAAACAGAUCCUGGCAAACCUUGCUCUGAAGAUAAAUGUCAAGGUUGCAUUUUCUUCAGUUGUCGAGUCUAACACAACCUUCUAUUCUCAAAGGUUGUGGGGAAGGAACACUGUGAUGCAGUGUCAAGGUGUGUCCCUUGGUCACCAAUAGGCCAAUGAUCAUAUUAGGCAUCGAUGGUGUGAGUGAAGGCUAGUUAUUCUACCAAGUUCUACUGCACGAGCUCGACACCAUCUGUAGGGCAUGUGCGUCGCUUGAGGCGAACUACCAGACACAUGUCACUUUCAUCGUAGUCCAGAAGCGCCACUACACCAGGUUGUUCGUGCACAACCACAAUGACCAGAACUCCGUCGACCGGAGCGGCAACAUCCUCCCUGGAACUGUUGUCGACUCCAAGAUCUUCCACCCAUGGAGUUCGACUUUGUCCUGAGCAGUUAUGCCGACAUCAAGGGCACGAGUCGCGUGAUGCAUUACCAUGACUGAUGCGCGGCAGUCCCUCACCAACAAACUGUGCUACAUGGCUACACGACAAAGCUACUGGAGGAGCACCACCUGCUCAAUACAGUUAAUCUGGAGGUUUGUUUUACCCUGACAACUCAUCGCAACAAUCGGUAACAACCAGCGCCACCCCCUCGCAGCAGCGACACCCCAGCAACCUGGCUCAUCCCAUGACCGUCUAGAUGAUAGAGUGAAUGGCUCCUACAAGACCUGGUGCUAUCCUGGUUGCGGCAGGCAUCCGUCUUCGAUUACUUCCUGCAUUGAGUUCACCACGCCUCAACCACAACCACGGUGGCCUCUUCAUCAUCUCUACGGUUUAGCUCCUACAAGACCUGGUGUAGUGGUGUUGUGCUGUCCGCGGUGUACAUUUGGCUUCGACUACUUGUUGCAUUGAGUUCACUUCUCCUCAACCACAAGCACGGUGGCCUCUUCAUCAACUCGAUGGUUUAGGACAAUGAGGAUGACAACCAGGGUAAGUUAUGUGGAACCUGGAGCUGCUGCCCGCAGCCUGAUGCAUCACUUGGAAGCUUGAUGAUUGCAGUGUGUGAGUAGCCAAGGUUUCACAUUCGAUACCAUCUUGUAGCGCGGCAUUUAUGUGUUGUAUGUGACCAUCCCAUGGUUGACUUUUGACCUGUGCAUCAGCUCUCGUUGGUGUUGGUGGUUUAGUGUCGUUUGAUUUCUGUUUGGUUCGACCUCUGGUAUGGUUGAAUGCCACAUGAGGUGUGCUGUUGCACUUGUGUAGUUUGUGAAGUGUAUAUAUAUUAAUUGUCGUGUGAUCUUGAAAGUCCGGAAAAUACCC
This is a long non-coding RNA of Lolium rigidum, 2268 nucleotides long. RefSeq lists it as uncharacterized. Lineage: Eukaryota; Viridiplantae; Streptophyta; Magnoliopsida; Poales; Poaceae. The transcript has 11 exons. The record is from RefSeq and is a predicted model, not a curated record.